UCUAACACAUGCAGUCGAGCGAUGAAACCCUGCUUGCGCGGUGGAUUAGUGGCGAACGGGUGAGUAACACGUGAGUAACCUGCCCCCGACUCUGGGAUAAGCCCGGGAAACUGGGUCUAAUACCGGAUAUGACUUCCUACUGCAUGGUGGGUUGUUGAAAGAUUUAUCGGUGGGGGAUGGACUCGCGGCCUAUCACCUUGUUGGUGAGGUAAUGGCUCACCAAGGCGACUACGGGUAGCCGGCCUGAAAGGGUGACCGGCCACACUGGGACUGAAACACGGCCCAGACUCCUACGGGAGGCAGCAGUGGGGAAUAUUGCACAAUGGGCGGAAGCCUGAUGCAGCGACGCCGCGUGAGGGAUGACGGCCUUCGGGUUGUAAACCUCUUUCAGUACGGAAUUGCGAAAGUGACGGUACCUGCAGAAGAAGCGCCGGCUAACUACGUGCCACCACCCGCGGUAAUACGUAGGGCGCAAGCGUUAUCCGGAUUUAUUGGGCGUAAAGAGCUCGUAGGCGGUUUGUCGCGUCUGCCGUGAAACCCGAGGCUCAACCUCGGAUCUGCGGUGGGUACGGGCAGACUACACUGAUGUAGGGGAUACUGGAAUUCCUGGUGUAGCGGUGAAAUGCGACAGAUAUCAUGAGGAACACCGAUGGCGAAGGCAGGUCUCUGGGCAUUUACUGACGCUGAAGAGCGAA
Molecule: ribosomal RNA, 695 nt
Filed under: Arthrobacter sp.
Lineage: Bacteria; Bacillati; Actinomycetota; Actinomycetes; Micrococcales; Micrococcaceae
Description: bacterial SSU rRNA
Rfam family: Bacterial small subunit ribosomal RNA
Source: RNAcentral